Molecule: ribosomal RNA, 496 nt
Filed under: uncultured bacterium
Lineage: Bacteria
Description: partial 16S ribosomal RNA
Rfam family: Bacterial small subunit ribosomal RNA
Source: RNAcentral
GAUAAACGCUAGCGGCAGGCCUAAUACAUGCAAGUCGAGGGGUAGAAGAGGCUUGCUUCUUUGAGACCGGCGCACGGGUGCGUAACGCGUAUGCAACCUACCUUCAUCUGGGGGAUAGCCCGGAGAAAUCCGGAUUAAUACCGCAUAAAAUCACAGGAUGGCAUUAUCCAAUGAUCAAACAUUUAUGGGAUGGAUAUGGGCAUGCGUGUCAUUAGCUAGUUGGCGGGGUAACGGCCCACCAAGGCGACGAUGACUAGGGGAUCUGAGAGGAUGGCCCCCCACACUGGUACUGAGACACGGACCAGACUCAUACGGGAGGCAGCAGUAAGGAAUAUUGGUCAAUGGAGGCAAAUCUGAACCAGCCAUGCCGCGUGCAGGAAGACUGCCCUAUGGGUUGUAAGCUGCUUUUAUUCGGGAAUAAACCUUAUUACGUGUAAUAAGCUGAAUGUACCGAAGGAAUAAGGAUCGGCUAACUCCGUGCCAGCCGCCGCAGUAA